This 587-nucleotide ribosomal RNA is filed under the name uncultured bacterium. RNAcentral describes it as "bacterial SSU rRNA". It matches the Rfam family "Bacterial small subunit ribosomal RNA", at positions 54 to 637 of the family's 1533-position model. The record is from RNAcentral.
CAUGCAAGUCGAACGAGAAUCUUUGGAAUGAUUCUUUCGGGAUGAAUUCCAAAGAGGAAAGUGGCGGACGGGCGAGUAACGCGUGAGUAACCUGCCCAUAAGAGGGGGAUAGUCCAUGGAAACGUGGACUAAUACCGCAUAUUGUAGUUAAGUUGCAUGACUUGAUUAUGAAAGAUUUAUCGCUUAUGGAUGGACUCGCGUCAGAUUAGAUAGUUGGUGAGGUAACGGCUCACCAAGUCAACGAUCUGUAGCCGAACUGAGAGGUUGAUCGGCCGCAUUGGGACUGAGACACGGCCCAGACUCCUACGGGAGGCAGCAGUGGGGAAUAUUGCGCAAUGGGGGCAACCCUGACGCAGCAACGCCGCGUGCAGGAAGAAGGUCUUCGGAUUGUAAACUGUUGUCGCAAGGGAAGAAGACAGUGACGGUACCUUGUGAGAAAGUCACGGCUAACUACGUGCCAGCAGCCGCGGUAAUACGUAGGUGACAAGCGUUGUCCGGAUUUACUGGGUGUAAAGGGCGCGUAGGCGGACUGUCAAGUCAGUCGUGAAAUACCGGGGCUUAACCCCGGGGCUGCGAUUGAAACUGAC